This 939-nucleotide ribosomal RNA is filed under the name Triticum aestivum (bread wheat). Its description in RNAcentral is "partial small subunit ribosomal RNA". The record is from RNAcentral. Lineage: Eukaryota; Viridiplantae; Streptophyta; Magnoliopsida; Poales; Poaceae.
AUGCUUUUACAACAGACAACAUUGUUCCUGACCCAUAUGACUGUUUACCAGAAUAUACCAAAAAGUACUCACACGCUGGUGCCAAAGCCUGAUUGCAAGCAUUGCGGCGCAAAGAGGUUCCAGUAUGAGACAAAUGGAUUUUGUUGCCAGUCUGGAAAAAUUAAGUUAGCACAGUCAGAACCACCCUUGGAACUUCAGAUGUUGUACACAAGUUCAGAUAGUGAUGCUGUACAUUUUAGGGAUAACAUUCGCUACUUCAAUGGCCACUUUUCAUUCACCACUCUUGGAGUCAGUCUUGACAAUAGAUACACAAACAUGAGGUCAGGAGUCUAUACAUUCCGAGCCCAUGGUCAGAUUUACCACAACAUCUUCUCAUUUGGUCCAACACAAGAUGGACCUAAGCAUCUAGAGUUAUACUUCUACGAUGAUGACCCGAGUCUACAACAUAGGUUUCGGCGCUCCCCGAACCUAGACCGAGAUGUCAUUCGAAGGCUUGUCAACAUCCUUAAGGAUAAUCCUUAUUCUGAAACAUUCAGGAAUCUAGGUGGAGUCGAUGACCUUGAGGAUUAUCGUAUUGAACUGAACACCGACAUGAGGUUGGACCAACGGAGAUAUAACUUGCCUAUAUCAUCAGAGGUUGCAGCUAUUUGGGUUGAGGGUAAUGAACUAUGUAAGCGUUUUGACCGUAGCAUUGUCCUGUUUGGUAAUGACAACAAGAGAUAUAGCAUCCAACCAUAUUAUGGAUGCUAUGAUCCAUUGUCUUACCCUUUGUUCUUCCCAAGAGGGGAGAUUGGUUGGCAUCCUGAGAUCCCAAAGAACGGUGUCAGCUUGAAUGAGAUACUUCAAUCCCGCCGCAGUGGUCGAAAGAAACCAGGUACAUAUAAUGAAAUUAGCAUUUAUUCAUUUUUUUUAUUAUCCCCAGUGUACUUAUUUUCUUAA